This 848-nucleotide ribosomal RNA is filed under the name human gut metagenome. RNAcentral describes it as "bacterial SSU rRNA". It matches the Rfam family "Bacterial small subunit ribosomal RNA", at positions 8 to 865 of the family's 1533-position model. The record is from RNAcentral.
AGGGUUCGAUUCUGGCUCAGGAUGAACGCUGGCGGCGUGCUUAACACAUGCAAGUCGAACGGGAUCCAUCAGGCUUUGCUUGGUGGUGAGAGUGGCGAACGGGUGAGUAAUGCGUGACCGACCUGCCCCAUACACCGGAAUAGCUCCUGGAAACGGGUGGUAAUGCCGGAUGUUCCAGUUGAUCGCAUGGUCUUCUGGGAAAGCUUUCGCGGUAUGGGAUGGGGUCGCGUCCUAUCAGCUUGACGGCGGGGUAACGGCCCACCGUGGCUUCGACGGGUAGCCGGCCUGAGAGGGCGACCGGCCACAUUGGGACUGAGAUACGGCCCAGACUCCUACGGGAGGCAGCAGUGGGGAAUAUUGCACAAUGGGCGCAAGCCUGAUGCAGCGACGCCGCGUGAGGGAUGGAGGCCUUCGGGUUGUAAACCUCUUUUAUCGGGGAGCAAGCGAGAGUGAGUUUACCCGUUGAAUAAGCACCGGCUAACUACGUGCCAGCAGCCGCGGUAAUACGUAGGGUGCAAGCGUUAUCCGGAAUUAUUGGGCGUAAAGGGCUCGUAGGCGGUUCGUCGCGUCCGGUGUGAAAGUCCAUCGCUUAACGGUGGAUCCGCGCCGGGUACGGGCGGGCUUGAGUGCGGUAGGGGAGACUGGAAUUCCCGGUGUAACGGUGGAAUGUGUAGAUAUCGGGAAGAACACCAAUGGCGAAGGCAGGUCUCUGGGCCGUUACUGACGCUGAGGAGCGAAAGCGUGGGGAGCGAACAGGAUUAGAUACCCUGGUAGUCCACGCCGUAAACGGUGGAUGCUGGAUGUGGGGCCCGUUCCACGGGUUCCGUGUCGGAGCUAACGCGUUAAGC